This 864-nucleotide ribosomal RNA is filed under the name Lactarius stephensii. Its description in RNAcentral is "partial large subunit ribosomal RNA". It matches the Rfam family "Eukaryotic large subunit ribosomal RNA", at positions 78 to 921 of the family's 3401-position model. Lineage: Eukaryota; Fungi; Basidiomycota; Agaricomycetes; Russulales; Russulaceae. The record is from RNAcentral.
CCCUAGUAACUGCGAGUGAAGCGGGAAAAGCUCAAAUUUAAAAUCUGGCGGUCUUUGGCCGUCCGAGUUGUAAUUUAGAGAAGCGUCUUCCGCGCUGGACCGUGCACAAGUCUCCUGGAAUGGAGCGUCAUAGAGGGUGAGAAUCCCGUCUUUGGCACGGAUGCCUGGUGCUUCUGUGAUGCGCUCUCAAAGAGUCGAGUUGUUUGGGAAUGCAGCUCAAAAUGGGUGGUGAACUCCAUCUAAAGCUAAAUAUUGGCGAGAGACCGAUAGCGAACAAGUACCGUGAGGGAAAGAUGAAAAGCACUUUGGAAAGAGAGUGAAACAGUACGUGAAAUUGUUGAAAGGGAAACGCUUGAAGUCAGUCGCGUCGACCGAGACUCAGCCUUGCCUCGGCUUGGUGUACUUCUCGGCCCGACGGGUCAGCGUCAAUUUUGCCCCUCAGAUAAUGGCAAGGGAAAGGUGGCACCUUUACGGUGUGUUAUAGUCUCCUGUCGCAUGUGAGGGGUGGGAUUGAGGAACUCAGCGCGCACCUUGGUGUCGGGGCUUCGGCCCACGUCACGCGCUUAGGAUGCUGGCAUAAUGGCUUUAAACGACCCGUCUUGAAACACGGACCAAGGAGUCCAACACGCACGCGAGUGUUCGGGUGGAAAACCCGUGCGCGUAAUGAAAGUGAAAGUUGGGACCUCUGUCGUGGAGGGCACCGACGCCCGGACCAGACCUUCUGUGACGGAUCUGCGGUAGAGCGUGUGUGUUGGGACCCGAAAGAUGGUGAACUAUGCCUGAAUAGGGUGAAGCCAGAGGAAACUCUGGUGGAGGCUCGUAGCGAUUCUGACGUGCAAAUCGAUCGUCAAAUUUGGGUAUAGG